Molecule: long non-coding RNA, 880 nt
Organism: Boleophthalmus pectinirostris (great blue-spotted mudskipper)
Lineage: Eukaryota; Metazoa; Chordata; Actinopteri; Gobiiformes; Gobiidae
Exons: 2
Source: RefSeq, a predicted model, not a curated record
CAUUUCGCCUCUUCUUUCUAAAAAAGGAUAUUCUUGCUCAAUUAGGGAUGUUUGCAACAUCAAAUGACCAGGCUACGCGACGCUGCAGCCGCGGCCACUGUGGUGGUCAUGGAUGAGCGCUAAAGAAGUUGAACUUGCUCAUCACCUCCAGACAGACGGCUCGUGUCCAUCCCCUGUCCGGAUGCUACCACCUGCCUCUCAGCUCUAACGCCUGGGUGUGGUGGAGUGGGCUGUUGGGAGUGGAGCAGAACAGGGCUGGUGUGGACUCUCAAUGCUGGUGAAUGAGUCAUCGGAGCGAGGCUAGUCUGUCGAGUUUCCCAGUGGGACGGCCUGGAUCUUCUUAACCCGGGAGAAGGAGACAGACUCGGCAAAGAGGAGACAUUGGGAGAGGUAGCUAUAGGAGGGGAAAGUGUGGAGGAUGACUAAGGGCCCUGAACCACAUGUCCGUGCAGAGAGGAGGGAGGCAUUACUCAUACGGCUAUCACAGGACUCACAGUGUGUCUUCCUCAUGGUUGUCACUCCCUUGGGCCUUCAGCCACACACACACACACACACACACACACACUUAGUUGGGGUCAACUGAAAUCUUCAAAGCCCAUUCCCCUAUACUGUUCUUGGGAUGUCCUGAAGGAUGAAUGAACAAAACUCCUGCUUUUAAAGUGCUUUGCCACAGUGUACUCCUCCAGGCAUGAGUCACGCCACGCUUUUACCCAUACGGCUUCAUAUUGGUCACCUGCCCGUCGCCAUGUGAGCGCCUGCUGGAAAAGUUUCAUCUUGCUCUAGUUUGUGUUUUAGAAAAGGGCAGCAAGGGCUAUCAUCUGCUUUUGUAUAGCGUUCUGAUCUAUAUCUAAAUAAAAAACAACCUUGUUUAAGAAAAUAA